GCUCCUAUAAUUCAAUGGACUAGAAUAUUGUUUUUAUACAGCAAAGAUCGCGGUUCGAUUCCGCGUAGGAGCU
Molecule: transfer RNA, 73 nt
Filed under: Pseudomonadota bacterium
Lineage: Bacteria; Pseudomonadati; Pseudomonadota
Description: Proteobacteria bacterium (activated sludge metagenome) tRNA-Ile
Rfam family: tRNA
About the family: Transfer RNA (tRNA) molecules are approximately 80 nucleotides in length.
Source: RNAcentral